UAGGACCUUUCUAUUUGCAAGUCAAUUUUUAAAGAAUUUAAACCGGUGUUUAGGUAGAAGUAGAAAUUAUAGUGAUUCAGACAGUCAUUGGACUCUUUCUCUCUCCAACUCCUCUGUCCGGCCUGGAAUACUCUGACAGCCCCAGACUCUCAUCCCAGCAGCUUUAUAUCUCCAGGACAAACAGAAACAGAUACUUCUCCCCUGAUCCCAGAGAUUGGCAGAGCAC
Vicugna pacos (alpaca) is the source of this 226-nucleotide non-coding RNA. The record is from RefSeq and is a predicted model, not a curated record. Lineage: Eukaryota; Metazoa; Chordata; Mammalia; Artiodactyla; Camelidae.